GAAAACAUUUAUCUAGUUAUGUACGCGUUUAGUGUGUGUCAAAUUUUCAAAUGCCUGGUAUUUUGACAUGGUUAUUUGGAUUUUCUUUCUUGAAUACAUUCUUCAUUUUGUUAUUAAAGGGUGACCCAGUGCAUAAAGUAUCCCACACUUGAUUGUAUUGCAUUUUAAAAAUCUCGUUCAGAUGAGAGAUUGUUUGAGGAAAAAAAAGAUCUAAUGGAUGAUCAUGUUUAGCAUUAAGAUGUGUGGGAAAAGUUCAGUUGGCAAAUUAAGAAAUGAUUUCGGCUUACUUGUAUGCAUUAGCAACGUAGUUUUAAUUGAGUACCUCAUUGUAAUUUCCAUUGACAACUGUAACCUGGUGGGAGCUUUGGAGCUUUAGAGAUGCUUGAGCGUACUUGGAUCUUAGACUUUCAGCAAGAGUGAUUCUCUUAUGUCUAAAAGCAUUAGUAUGUGGAUGAUAUCAAUGUUUCAAAACACAUCAGAUAGUCCUUGGUUCACAGCAUUGAUAUAUAUUGGACUUGGAGAAUGGUUUUCCGUCAUGGUGAAAUUCCAAUCAUAUUAUGUCUAUAAAAUGUGUUUUCUCUUACUUGUCUCAUGCCAUUUACCCUCUUUUCUGGCAGUUUGAGGCCCUUCCAUUUCAGGGGUUUUACAUUUAUAGUUGUGCAACACUUGAAAAUCAUUUGAUUAGGUUGCAAAUGAAGUUUUGAGAAAUGAUUCAAAAAAUUGAUAUUGUAAAUAUGCUUGAAAAAUUGGUGAAAGCCUAUGUAAUGUGUGCUCAAAUCUUUGAGUUAGGCCAUCUUUAUGCAUUCAGAUAAUCUAAUUGUCAUGCCUUGGAACCAUUAUACAGGGCUAAAUCUAAAAAUUGUCUUUUUUUUUUUUU
This 877-nucleotide unclassified non-coding RNA is filed under the name Hevea brasiliensis (rubber tree). Lineage: Eukaryota; Viridiplantae; Streptophyta; Magnoliopsida; Malpighiales; Euphorbiaceae. The record is from RNAcentral.